This 431-nucleotide ribosomal RNA is filed under the name uncultured bacterium. Its description in RNAcentral is "bacterial SSU rRNA". It matches the Rfam family "Bacterial small subunit ribosomal RNA", at positions 64 to 507 of the family's 1533-position model. The record is from RNAcentral.
GAACGAGAAAGCGGGGGCAACUCCGUGAGUAAAGUGGCGACCGGGUGAGUAACACGUGACUAACCUGCCCUGGAGUGGGGAAUAACCUCGGGAAACCGGGGCUAAUACCGCAUAACAUCGCGAGGGGAAGAUCCUCGCGAUCAAAGGAGCAAUUCGCUCUGGGAGGGGGUCGCGCCUGAUUAGCUAGUUGGCGGGGUAACGGCCCACCAAGACGAAGAUCAGUAGCCGGCCUGAGAGGGCGCUCGGCCACACUGGAACUGAAACACGGUCCAGACUCCUACGGGAGGCAGCAGUGGGGAAUUUUGCGCAAUGGGGGAAACCCUGACGCAGCAACGCCGCGUGGAGGAUGAAGUCCCUUGGGAUGUAAACUCCUUUCGAUCGGGACGAAAAAAAUGACGGUACCGGAAGAAGAAGCACCGGCUAACUCUGUG